RNAcentral lists this ribosomal RNA (369 nucleotides) under Glaesserella parasuis. RNAcentral describes it as "bacterial SSU rRNA". It matches the Rfam family "Bacterial small subunit ribosomal RNA", at positions 719 to 1089 of the family's 1533-position model. Lineage: Bacteria; Pseudomonadati; Pseudomonadota; Gammaproteobacteria; Pasteurellales; Pasteurellaceae. The record is from RNAcentral.
AGGCAGCCCCUUGGGAAAAUACUGACGCUCAUGUGCGAAAGCGUGGGGAGCAAACAGGAUUAGAUACCCUGGUAGUCCACGCUGUAAACGCUGUCGAUUUGGGGAUUGGGCUUUAUGUUUGAUGCCCGUAGCUAACGUGAUAAAUCGACCGCCUGGGGAGUACGGCCGCAAGGUUAAAACUCAAAUGAAUUGACGGGGGCCCGCACAAGCGGUGGAGCAUGUGGUUUAAUUCGAUGCAACGCGAAGAACCUUACCUACUCUUGACAUCCUAAGAAGAACUCAGAGAUGAGUUUGUGCCUUCGGGAACUUAGAGACAGGUGCUGCAUGGCUGUCGUCAGCUCGUGUUGUGAAAUGUUGGGUUAAGUCCCG